Molecule: ribosomal RNA, 368 nt
Filed under: uncultured organism
Description: partial 23S ribosomal RNA
Rfam family: Bacterial large subunit ribosomal RNA
Source: RNAcentral
CUUGACUGUAUCCUGGAAUUGGGUUCGGGCUUUUCUUGCGCAGCCUAGGUGGGAGGCUAUGAAGGUUCCCUUCCGGGGGAAUCUGAGCCAUCAUUGAGAGACCACUCUGGAAGAGCUAGAAUCCUAAUGGUGAUCUUUGAAUCAAGACACUUGACAGUUUCAGGUGGGCAGUUUAUCUGGGGCGGAUGCCUCCUAAAGCGUAACGGAGGCGUGCAAAGGUUCUCUCAGUCUGGACGGAAAUCAGACAUUGAGUGCAAAGGCAAAAGAGAGCUUGACUGUAAGACCAACAAGUCGAGCAGGGGCGAAAGCCGGCCUUAGUGAUCCGACGGUGCCGUGUGGAAGGGCCGUCGCUCAACGGAUAAAAGUUA